Molecule: ribosomal RNA, 253 nt
Filed under: uncultured bacterium
Lineage: Bacteria
Description: partial 16S ribosomal RNA
Rfam family: Bacterial small subunit ribosomal RNA
Source: RNAcentral
UACGUAGGGGGCAAGCGUUGUCCGGAAUUAUUGGGCGUAAAGAGCGCGUAGGCGGUCCGAUAAGUCGGCUGUGAAAGUCAGGGGCUCAACCCUUGAAAGCCGGCCGAUACUGUCGGACUAGAGUCCGGAAGAGGCAAGUGGAAUUCCCGGUGUAGCGGUGAAAUGCGCAGAUAUCGGGAGGAACACCAAUUGCGAAGGCAGCUCGCUGGGACGCUACUGACGCUGAGACGCGAAAGCGUGGGGAGCAAACAGG